GACGAACGCUGGCGGCGUGCUUAACACAUGCAAGUCGAACGGACAGACCUCUUUCGGGGGGUACUCGAGUGGCGAACGGAUGAGUAACACGUAAGUAACCUACCCUUGUCUUUGGGUUAACUUCCUGCAACUAGGGCUAGUACCUACUAGGAGCUCCUUCUACCUGGUUGGUGUUGUAAAGUUUCGGCGUUUUGGGAUGGACUCGCGACGUAUCCGCUUGUUGUUGGGUUAGUGGCUUACCAAGGCUUUGACGGGUAACCGGACUGAGAGAGUGAUAGGCGAUAUUGGCACCGAGAUAAGGCCGAGAUACCGAAGGGAGGCAGAAGGGGGGAAGAGUGAACAAGGGGUGGAAGCCUGAUGCAGCAAGGCCGUGGGCGGGAUGACGGUGUUCGGGGUGUAAAACGAUUGUGUAAAUGACGAAGCUUUGUGUGACGGUAGUGGGUAAAGAAGCAACGGCUAACUACGUG
Molecule: ribosomal RNA, 467 nt
Filed under: uncultured bacterium
Lineage: Bacteria
Description: partial 16S ribosomal RNA
Rfam family: Bacterial small subunit ribosomal RNA
Source: RNAcentral